ACGUCAGAACUGUUUCGGUCUUCCAUCAGGGUUUCCCCUGACUUCAACCUGAUCAAGUAUAGUUCACCAUCUUUCGGGUCACAGCAUAUUUGCUCAAGGUACCGUUCCAGUUAGAGGUAUAAAUAAUAUAAAUAUCAUCAUACAUAACUAUAUAGAACGCCCCGGGAUUGUGUUAAUUAACUAUAAAUAGUUAAAAAACUAAUCCCAUUAAUAGUCAAGUUAAUUACGCUAUUAGGUUU
RNAcentral lists this ribosomal RNA (239 nucleotides) under Drosophila ornatifrons. RNAcentral describes it as "partial 28S ribosomal RNA". Lineage: Eukaryota; Metazoa; Arthropoda; Insecta; Diptera; Drosophilidae. The record is from RNAcentral.